RNAcentral lists this ribosomal RNA (754 nucleotides) under uncultured Bacteroidota bacterium. RNAcentral describes it as "bacterial SSU rRNA". It matches the Rfam family "Bacterial small subunit ribosomal RNA", at positions 60 to 811 of the family's 1533-position model. Lineage: Bacteria; Pseudomonadati; Bacteroidota. The record is from RNAcentral.
AGUCGAGGGGCAGCAUUACCUUCGGGUAGAUGGCGACCGGCGCACGGGUGCGUAACGCGUAUGCAACCUACCUAUCACAUAGGGAUAGCCUCUAGAAAUGGAGAUUAAUACCUAAUGGUAUCUAAAUAUUGCAUGAUAUUAAGAUUAAAGAUUUAUCGGUGAUAGAUGGGCAUGCGUGACAUUAGCUAGUUGGUAAGGUAACGGCUUACCAAGGCGACGAUGUCUAGGGGAUCUGAGAGGACUACCCCCCACACUGGUACUGAGACACGGACCAGACUCCUACGGGAGGCAGCAGUGAGGAAUAUUGGUCAAUGGAGGCAACUCUGAACCAGCCAUGCCGCGUGCAGGAUGACUGCCCUAUGGGUUGUAAACUGCUUUUAUAUGAGAAGAAAAUUAACUACGUGUAGUUAACUGACGGUACCAUAAGAAUAAGGACCGGCUAACUCCGUGCCAGCAGCCGCGGUAAUACGGAGGGUCCAAGCGUUAUCCGGAUUUAUUGGGUUUAAAGGGUCCGUAGGCGGGCUUAUAAGUCAGAGGUGAAAUCCCAUCGCUCAACGAUGGAACUGCCUUUGAUACUGUAGGUCUUGAAUAUAUUUGAAGUAGGCGGAAUAUGUAGUGUAGCGGUGAAAUGCAUAGAUAUUACAUAGAACACCAAUUGCGAAGGCAGCUUACUAAGAUAUUAUUGACGCUGAUGGACGAAAGCGUGGGUAGCGAACGGGAUUAGAUACCCCGGUAGUCCACGCCGUAAACGAUG